GUUAGCAUCAGCGUGCGGCUGCCAGUCCAUCUGGGGGUCUAAUUGUUGCCUUCUCCGCCGUCGUCGUCUUGCUGAUCGCUUGUCCAGAGCGUUAGGUUGUCGCGGAGGAGCUGCAUGAUGAGCGUUGAGUCCUUGUAGGAGUCCUCGUUGAGGGUGUCCAGCUCGGCGAUGGCGUCGUCGAACGCCGUCUUGGCCAGGUGGCAGGCCUGCUCCGGGGCGUUCUGGAUCUCGUAGUAGAAAACGGAGUAGUUGAGCGCCAGGCCGAGCCGGAUGGGGUGGGUCGGCUGCAUGUGCUCCUUGCUGAUCUCGUGGGCCUCGCUGUAGGCCUUCUCCGAAGACUCCACCACGGUCGCCCUCUUCUCGCCGGUGGCCACCUCGGCCAGGUAGCGGUAAUAGUCCCCUUUCAUCUUCAGGUAGAAGACUUUGCUCUCGUACUGCGUCUCGCUGCAGUUCUUGAUCAGGUAGUUGUCCAGCAGGCUCAGCACGUCCUGGCACACGGCUUCCAACUCCUUCUCGAUUUUCUCACGGUAGGCCCGUACCAUCUCGAUCUUCUUCUCAUUGCCAUCAGCUGAGGUCUUCUGCUCGAUGCUGCUGAUGACACGCCAGGAUGAGCGCCGUGCCCCCACAACGUUCUUGUAGGCGACGGAGAGAAGGUUCCUCUCUUCGUUGGACAGAGGCUCGUUCAGUUCUGUCACGUUCUUCAUGGCGGCCGCCAUGUCGUCGUAGCGCUCGGCUUGCUCGGCCAGCCGGGCCUUCUGCACCAGCUGCUCGCGGUCCACCAUCUUCGCGGGGCCGGGAGGGGAAAGGGCGCGGAGGCUGCGGGCUGCGGGAGGAGGAGGAGGAAAGAGGAGAAGGAGGAGGAGGAAAGAGGAGGAGGAGGCGGCGGCUCCUGGCGCUGCUGCGGCG
RNAcentral lists this long non-coding RNA (906 nucleotides) under Gallus gallus (chicken). The record is from RNAcentral. Lineage: Eukaryota; Metazoa; Chordata; Aves; Galliformes; Phasianidae.